UACGUAGGGGGCGAGCGUUGUCCGGAAUCAUUGGGCGUAAAGAGCGUGUAGGCGGACUUAAAGGUCUGGUGUGAAAGCCCUGGGCUCAACCCAGGAAGUGCACUCGAAACUGUCAGGCUUGAAUAUGGAAGAGGGUCGCGGAAUUCCCGGUGUAGAGGUGAAAUUCGUAGAUAUCGGGAGGAACACCAGUGGCGAAGGCGGCGACCUGGGCCAAUAUUGACGCUGAGGUGCGAAAGCGUGGGGAGCAAACAGG
This 253-nucleotide ribosomal RNA is filed under the name uncultured bacterium. Its description in RNAcentral is "partial 16S ribosomal RNA". It matches the Rfam family "Bacterial small subunit ribosomal RNA", at positions 524 to 776 of the family's 1533-position model. The record is from RNAcentral.